Molecule: long non-coding RNA, 833 nt
Organism: Bactrocera latifrons
Lineage: Eukaryota; Metazoa; Arthropoda; Insecta; Diptera; Tephritidae
Exons: 4
Source: RefSeq, a predicted model, not a curated record
CAUAUAUGCGUGUUCAAUACGUGAGCCGCUAGAGAUGAAUAAAUUGCACACAUUACCAGCGAAAGACAGUGAGAGAGAUCGAGUGUGAACAGGUGAAUAGUAACAUCUGUCAAUUAACAGCACACUGUCACUGCACAUCAGGUGAACAUAAGCCAACUGCAUGCAAAUAUGCAGCAACAAAUACUGUAAAUAAAAAGGACAAAUGGAAAUGUAAGGAAUGUGUACGGUAUUUUAUUGGAAAGGACAAAUAUGUGUACCAACAUACAUACAUACAUAUAUUAUAUCUAGCAUGGAAGUAUUGUACGAAAAUAAUGUGAACUGCUGCUUGGAUGGCUGCGCUAAAACUUCGCCUAACAUUAAUGACGAUUUAUUUAAUAURUGUGAUCGAUCAGUAACGUACGUGAGCAGGAGAAUAGAAAUGUGAUAGUUCAAAUUUACCAGCGCACUACAAUCAUAUUAUAUAUGGAAUACCUUUAAAAAUGCAAGGAAGCUGUAAACCUAUGUAUGUCUGAUUUCCACACGACCAAAAAUGAAAGGCAAAAUGCCUUUAUACAUAUCUAAAACACUAUAUGGAGCCUGAGCACCCGUUUUAGUAGACCGCGCAGAAUCUUAAGGUCGAGAUGAAGCUGGCAUUUUGGUGUGACAGGUCACCAACUAACUGGAAGCGCUUUGUGAUCACCUGCUUCUAAAUACGAAACAAGCUGACAAUUGGGAGCGCAUAAGAAAUACAUUUAARUAUUGAUCUGGUAUUAUGAUCCAUAUGUAGAUACAUACUUAUAUGAUAUUACUUAUAAGGCAUAAAAACAUAUUAAAUGGCUAAUAUAUCUCAUAAA